This is a long non-coding RNA of Mustela lutreola (European mink), 1091 nucleotides long. RefSeq lists it as uncharacterized. The record is from RefSeq and is a predicted model, not a curated record. Lineage: Eukaryota; Metazoa; Chordata; Mammalia; Carnivora; Mustelidae. The transcript has 4 exons.
GUUUACGGAAGGUCAAAUAAGCUCAUGUUAUCUCUGUUGCAAUUUGUUAGUAAAAUGUUGACUAAAGUGAUUGCUCAUCAAAGUUUUUGUGGGUAAUUGUUGAAAUAGCUUUCAGAAUCUUUGGUAACCUGAAACUUUACAGUUCUUAUUGGAUUAGAAAUGGGAUUGAAUUCAUUGGACAUCUAGGUCUUUUCCAAAUAGGGUAAAGUGCUACAGCUCUGAGUACUGAAUGUAGGCUAAGGAACCUUUAAGAUCUGUGACUUACAGAAAUGUGAAAAUACUCAUUUGUAAACAGAUCAAAGCAUUCAACCUUUCUCUCUACCUGAACUCUCUGAAAUUCAAAAGAUCUCAUGCUAAGACUCCUUCACUGACCUAACUUCCAGCUAAUGAAUGAUCCUUUCUACUCAAGGAGGUUCAGACUUGACAGCAUUGGAUUCACCUGCCUUGCCCUUUUGUAACCCCAGUAUUGACCUAUAGGAUGUGACCUCUUUUAAGAGGAAGGUGGAGAGGAGGGACAACUGGGAAUUGGGGGUGACCAGAAGCAGAGGAUGGUGGAUCUGCAAGGUGGGCUAGUCUUCAACCAGUACUCCAGGAUCACUGGGACACUGCUUGAUAGGAGAAGGAGGCUUAGCAGUCAGUGUUGCCUGAAAACAUGGACUGCAGCAGCCUGGACAGCUGUCACCUAGUUCUGUCAGAAACAGCCAGCUGGGUCAUUUCCUGCUCCCUUCAGACCGUCGGAAGCAUCAAGAGGAACAGAAUGUCAGAUCUCCUUGCUGUUUUCUGCAUAUGGGGAGUGAAGCAGAGCAUACGAGUCACUCCUUGAACUUCAUUAAAAAUAAAUGAGGAAUCUGAGAUUCAGAGAGCAAUGAGGUGGUAAUUCCAGGCUGAUACUGCUGUGUGUGCCAUGGCAGACAUAUGAGCUCUGGAUGGGGAUGGUGAAGCCUGUGUAUAUUCUGUUCCAUGUUUGUGAGCUGUUCCCCUUCACCAGAACUAGGUGGACAUGAGUAAUGAACUUUGAGGGUUUGAGUUUUCUGCUGGAUAGAAACUAUAUCUCUACCAGACAAAAAUAUUAAAGUUAAUGGAGAGCUUUG